UGGCUUAGAAUAUGAUGAUAGGAGAAUUUGAAAGAAUUCGCUUGUUCCAAAUUAUGGAUUAAACUUUAAACAAAAUAGACUCGAAUUGGUGAGAUAAUUAGAGAUGCAUAUGAAGUCUUGAACCUCAAAUUUCACCUAUCAACAACUUAUCUAGUUCACCAGUUCUCUGCCAAAAAUUUCUUUCAUACCGCUUGCCGCUUCUCCAUGUUGCCGAAUACCCAAGUUCUUAAGAUGUUGGACCCUAGCGAGCUACCACAUGCAGCAUCCAACCUCAAUUUCCAGAAUCCUAAUAACAGAGGCAAUUGUAGCCUAUAAAUAUAAGUAGUACUAUAUACUGGAUCUCUGAACUAUGAAUACAACAUUCGCAAUCCAUUCCAAGCAUUUUUCUGCCCAUAUAGGUGCCAGGCUAAGCUGCAGUAUUCUGAGAAGCCAGAUUUUCAAGACAAACAUUGUUAAGCCUCUCCAGAGCCAAAAUAAGUGCUUGGGUGCCCAAAUUCCCUUCCCCGUGAGCCUUAAGCGACAAAUAAAGUUGUUGAGCCAAUGCCAAUCCUGGCAAAGCAAGACCCAUGUUUUGACACUCCUUCAAACAAAUUCCCAAGUCCUUUACAAAAUGGUUCACAUAGAACCCUGCCUCGAAAUCCCUCUUCAGUAUUCUAGCCCCGUAUAAAUCAAGGGACUUUGACCCAGCAGCGCCUGCAGAUAUGGCGUUUAAGUACAGUUCCACAUUGAGUCCAGCUUUAUAUGCGUAAACGAUCCCCUCCACUAAGCCAACCAUUGUAGAAGCUAUGGUUAUUUGGUUUGCUAGCUUCGCAAAUUGGCCUUUGCCAGGGGCACCCAUAUAAUUAACCUUUCCCAUGAGGGCAAACAGGGGAUUCAGCCGAUGGAUGACUCCUUCAUCCCCUCCGGCGAAUAUUGCCAGGGUUCCGUUCUUGGCACCGCGGUCGCCGCCGGAGACGGGGGCGUCAAUGGAGUGGCAAUUUUUGGCAGACGCAGCGGCGGAGAUCUCGGAGGCCAGGGAAGGAUCAGAUGUAGUCAUGUCAACGAGGACUCCACCAGGGCGAAGGCCUUGGAGGGCCCCAGUGGUGGGGUCGAGGAGGACGUGACGGACGUCAGAGGGAAACCCGACGAUGGAGAAGACGACGUCGGAAUUGGAGGCGACGGCGAGAGGGGAUUGAGCGAGAUGGGCCCCCAUGUCGACAAGAGGCUGGGCCUUAGAGAGGGUCCGAUUGAAGACGGUGAGGGUGUAGCCGGCUUUGAUUAGGUGGGCACACAUGGAGCGGCCCAUAACGCCGGUGCCGAUCCAGCCAACGCGGGUGUUUGAUGGAGUGACGGAGUCGGAGGUGUUGGCCAUUGAGCGGUGCAAGCGCAGUGGUGAAGGAAGAGAGAGGUGGGUGCUAUAGGUGGGUAAGUGGUGAAAGAGCGUGCGAGUGCGACGGAGGAGUGACUGUGACAUCCCUUUGAAUUAUAUCCAUCGCUAGCGUGUUCUAUUAUCGGUUAUGUUUGUUCUGUGUAUAGUAACAAUAAUUUCAACUCAUU
Molecule: unclassified non-coding RNA, 1536 nt
Filed under: Hevea brasiliensis (rubber tree)
Lineage: Eukaryota; Viridiplantae; Streptophyta; Magnoliopsida; Malpighiales; Euphorbiaceae
Source: RNAcentral